AUUGAACGCUGGCGGCAUGCCUUACACAUGCAAGUCGAACGGUAACGGGCCUUCGGGUGCCGACGAGUGGCGAACGGGUGAGUAAUACAUCGGAACGUGCCCGAUCGCGGGGGAUAACGAGGCGAAAGCUUCGCUAAUACCGCAUACGAUCUACGGAUGAAAGCAGGGGACCGCAAGGCCUUGCGCGGACGGCGCGGCCGGUGGCAGAUUAGGUAGUUGGUGGGGUAAAAGCUUACCAAGCCGACGAUCUGUAGCGGGUCUGAGAGGAUGAUCAGCCACACUGGGACUGAGACACGGCCCAGACGCCUACGGGAGGCAGCAGUGGGGAAUUUUGGACAAUGGGCGCAAGCCUGAUCCAGCCAUGCCGCGUGCAGGAUGAAGGCCUUCGGGUUGUAAACUGCUUUUGUACGGAACGAAAAGCCUUCUUCUAAUACAGGAGGGUCAUGACGGUACCGUAAGAAUAAGCACCGGCUAACUACGUGCCAGCAGCCGCGGUAA
Molecule: ribosomal RNA, 498 nt
Filed under: uncultured bacterium
Lineage: Bacteria
Description: partial 16S ribosomal RNA
Rfam family: Bacterial small subunit ribosomal RNA
Source: RNAcentral